RNAcentral lists this ribosomal RNA (253 nucleotides) under uncultured bacterium. RNAcentral's name for it is "partial 16S ribosomal RNA". It matches the Rfam family "Bacterial small subunit ribosomal RNA", at positions 524 to 776 of the family's 1533-position model. The record is from RNAcentral.
UACGGGGGGGGCAAGCGUUGUUCGGAAUUACUGGGCGUAAAGGGCUCGUAGGUGGCCAACUAAGUCAGACGUGAAAUCCCUCGGCUUAACCGGGGAACUGCGUCUGAUACUGGAUGGCUAGAGUUUGGGAGAGGGAUGCGGAAUUCCAGGUGUAGCGGUGAAAUGCGCAGAUAUCAGGAGGAACACCGGUGGCGAAGGCGGAUCUCUGGGCCUUACCUGACGCUGAGGCGCGAAAGCUAGGGGAGCGAACAGG